Molecule: unclassified non-coding RNA, 227 nt
Filed under: uncultured Agaricomycetes
Lineage: Eukaryota; Fungi; Basidiomycota; Agaricomycetes
Description: sequence contains ITS1
Source: RNAcentral
AUGAGUUGUAAUAGGGCUUGAUGCUGGCAGCUUGUAUUUGCAUGUGCUCACCCUAAUAACAAUUAUCUUCCAAACACCUGUGCACCUUUUUUUUUGAAGGGGAAUGCUGAGUUGAUUUGCCGCUUUUUUGUGGUGUUAUCAUUGAUGGCAUUGCCUUGAUUUAUUAUUAUACACAAUUUAUGAUGCUGGAUGUGUCUGCAAGGCAAAAAUAAAAGCCUUAAUACAUA